RNAcentral lists this ribosomal RNA (531 nucleotides) under Triticum aestivum (bread wheat). RNAcentral's name for it is "partial small subunit ribosomal RNA". The record is from RNAcentral. Lineage: Eukaryota; Viridiplantae; Streptophyta; Magnoliopsida; Poales; Poaceae.
AUGCUCCCGCCGCAACUCCCCGGACCCGCCGGGCACCUCCCGCUCGCCCUUGCCGUCACCGCCUCCUUCGCCAUCAGCUGCAGCGGCCGCUCCCGCCGCCGCCGCCGUGCGAAGCCCAAGCCCAUCGUGUUCCCGCCCCCGCCUCUCCGCCGCCUGGUCUCCUCCUCCCUCCGCCGCCUCCUCCCGCGCCCGCGCCCUCUCCGCGGCGGAUGGCUCGGGCGAAGGGGGAGGCGGAAGGCGCCCGCCGAGGACGUGGUGCUGCUCGUCCUCUCCCUGGCCCUGGGCGACAGGCUCGCCGUCCUCGCGGAGGCCUGGCGCGCGUCGGGGCUGGGCCAGGCGCUCGGCAUCUGGGCGGCGGUGUGGGGAGGAGCGAGGAGGAGGAAGAGGACGAGCGGGCUCCGGAGGCUCGCGGCGCUGCUGCUCGGGAUCGCGUUCUGCGCGCUCGCGUCGCAUUUCAGAGGGGCGGCGUUCCUGGAAGGCCUCCGGAAGACGGGCGGCGGCCGGAAAUUAGCGCGGACUUUCCUGCACUGA